GGUACUUUAAGGAAACUACUUGAAGAGCUUCACAUGCGCCUUCUUGAGUUUGAAGAGUAUGAGAACUGAUGGAUCCCUGUGGAAUGACGGUUGUCAUUACAGGCAGGUAGCGUGGUCCACCCGGCUCUCCAGUCUGCACACCGGCACUAAGUCAAUGUUCUCAGAGUACUGCUUGGAUCACAUCCUUUUAGCCUUUUCUCAAAAACCUUCAGGGUUCCUUCUUACCAAGUUGAAGGAAGUGCCUCUUCAGAAUGGCCCCAGCGUGCUUCUGUGUCCUACUGGUCUCCUACUCGUCCGGGAUCCAGCCAAAAUCCUCUGCUUGCUCUCUCCGAAGGUGCUUUACCUUUCUGCCUCCAUGCUUUCGCUCCUGCUCUUCUCCCAAUACCCUCCUCAUCCUUCUCUGCCUCUAGAAAACCUACUUACCACUCAAGACCCAUCUCUAACACUACUUUCUCCAUCAAGGCUUUUGAAUGUGACCACCCUCCUUAAAAUCCUUUCACCAUUCAUGCUAUUUUUGUGGCAUCUGCCGGACUCUUUCCAUGUUGGGUUAUCCGUGUGCCUCUCUUA
This 567-nucleotide long non-coding RNA is filed under the name Equus asinus (donkey). RNAcentral describes it as "lncRNA (ENSEASG00005023606.1)". Lineage: Eukaryota; Metazoa; Chordata; Mammalia; Perissodactyla; Equidae. The record is from RNAcentral.